GUUAGGAAUUUUGGGCAAUGGGCGCAAGCCUGACCCAGCAACGCCGCGUGGGUGACGAAGGCCUUCGGGUUGUAAAGCCCUUUUCUGGGGGAAGAUGAUGACGGUACCCCAGGAAGAAGCACCGGCUAACUACGUGCCCGCAGCCGCGGUAAUACGUAGGGUGCGAGCGUUGCCCGGAUUUAUUGGGCGUAAAGGGCGCGCAGGCGGUUCGGCACGUCCGUUGUGAAAUCGCUCGGCUCAACUGGGCGGGGUCAGCGGAUACGGUCGAACUUGAGCAAGCUAGGGGGCAAUGAAAUUCCCGGUGUAGUGGUGGAAUGCGUAGAUAUCGGGAGGAACACCAGUGGCGAAGGCGGUUGCCUGGAGCUUUGCUGACGCUGAGGCGCGAAAGCGUGGGGAGCGAUC
Molecule: ribosomal RNA, 402 nt
Filed under: uncultured bacterium
Lineage: Bacteria
Description: bacterial SSU rRNA
Rfam family: Bacterial small subunit ribosomal RNA
Source: RNAcentral